This 440-nucleotide ribosomal RNA is filed under the name uncultured bacterium. RNAcentral's name for it is "partial 16S ribosomal RNA". It matches the Rfam family "Bacterial small subunit ribosomal RNA", at positions 338 to 795 of the family's 1533-position model. The record is from RNAcentral.
CCUACGGGAGGCAGCAGUGGGGAAUAUUGCACAAUGGGGGAAACCCUGAUGCAGCGACGCCGCGUGAGCGAUGAAGUAUUUCGGUAUGUAAAGCCUUAUCAGCAGGGAAGAAAAUGACGGUACCUGACUAAGAAGCCCCGGUGACCUCCGUGCCAGCAGCCGCGGUAAUCCGUAGGGGGCAAGCGUUACCCGGAUUUACUGGGUGUAAAGGGAGAGUAGACGGGGAUGCAAGCCAGAUGUGAAAGCCCGGGGCUCAACCCCGGGACUGCAUUUGGAACUGUGUGGCUGGAGUGUCGGAGAGGCAGGCGGAAUUCCUAGUGUAGCGGUGAAAUGCGUAGAUAUUAGGAGGAACACCAGUGGCGAAGGCGGCCUGCUGGACGAUGACUGACGUUGAGGCUCGAAAGCGUGGGGAGCAAACAGGAUUAGAUACCCCUGUAGUC